RNAcentral lists this long non-coding RNA (431 nucleotides) under Heterocephalus glaber (naked mole-rat). Its description in RNAcentral is "lncRNA (ENSHGLG00000025531.2)". Lineage: Eukaryota; Metazoa; Chordata; Mammalia; Rodentia; Bathyergidae. The record is from RNAcentral.
AAUCUUUUGUCUCCACAGUCAUUCACUUCCACACAAAACCAACUGUUGCCUAUUUGGGUAGUGGACUAGAAAAACCAUAGUAUAACUGAAGAGUUCUGGAUUGGAGAAAAGUCCAGCUUUUGAACAGAAAUAUAUUACCUUCAUUUCAGUCUAAUUUGUGAUUCUUUUCCAAGAAGUGUAAUUGAAACUUCAGAAUAGGGUGAGAAUAUCAAGGGAUCGGGUGUGAGGAGAGAAGACUACAUGCAUAAUCCAUGUUGACUCUCAAAUUCUUCCUGAGGAUACCACAGCCCAAACAUUUAUGUUUCCAGAAAAAGGGAAGAAUCCUUGAGUUCUCCACUGUGAAGAGCAGGUGCCAGAUACAAACCUUGUUCAAGAAAGAAAGCUGAUGAUCUCAGAAACAUUUUUGUUAUCCUGUUGUUGAUCUUACAAAA